GGAGGCGUCGCAUAGCGGUCUAGUGCGGUUGCUUGGAGAGCAACUAUGUCCGAAAGGGCAUCGUGAGUUCGAAUCUCACCGCCUCCGCCA
RNAcentral lists this transfer RNA (90 nucleotides) under Patescibacteria group bacterium. RNAcentral's name for it is "tRNA-Ser". It matches the Rfam family "tRNA". Rfam says of the family: Transfer RNA (tRNA) molecules are approximately 80 nucleotides in length. Their secondary structure includes four short double-helical elements and three loops (D, anti-codon, and T loops). Further hydrogen bonds mediate the characteristic L-shaped molecular structure. tRNAs have two regions of fundamental functional importance: the anti-codon, which is responsible for specific mRNA codon recognition, and the 3' end, to which the tRNAs corresponding amino acid is attached (by aminoacyl-tRNA synthetases). tRNAs cope with the degeneracy of the genetic code in two manners: having more than one tRNA (with a specific anti-codon) for a particular amino acid; and 'wobble' base-pairing, i.e. permitting non-standard base-pairing at the 3rd anti-codon position. The record is from RNAcentral.